GUGCUCACUUUGGCAGCACAUACACUAAAACUGGAAUGAUACAGAGAUCAGAAUGGCCCCUGCGCAAAGAGGACAUGCAAAUUCCUGAAGCAAUGCAUUUUUUA
Small nuclear RNA from Cercocebus atys (sooty mangabey), 104 nucleotides. Lineage: Eukaryota; Metazoa; Chordata; Mammalia; Primates; Cercopithecidae. The record is from Ensembl.